CCUACGGGGGGCAGCAGUGAGGAAUAUUGGUCAAUGGGCGAGAGCCUGAACCAGCCAAGUCGCGUGAGGGAGUACUGCCCUAUGGGUUGUAAACCUCUUUUGUCGGGGAGCAAAAGCCGGACGUGUCCGGCUGUGAGAGUACCCGAAGAAAAAGCAUCGGCUAACCCCGUGCCAGCAGCCGCGGUAAUACGGAGGAUGCGAGCGUUAUCCGGAUUUAUUGGGUUAAAAGGGUGCGCAGGCGGAUUUUUAAGUCAGCGGUAAAAUCGUGGGGCUCAACCCCAUCCAGCCGUUGAAACUGGGGAUCUAGAGUGUGCGAGAGGUAUGCGGAAUGCGUGGUGUAGCGGUGAAAUGCAUAGAUAUCACGCAGAACCCCGAUUGCGAAGGCAGCAUACCGGUGCACAACUGACGCUCAGGCACGAAAGCGUGGGUAUCGAACAGGAUUAGAUACCCGGGUAGUC
This 458-nucleotide ribosomal RNA is filed under the name uncultured bacterium. RNAcentral's name for it is "partial 16S ribosomal RNA". It matches the Rfam family "Bacterial small subunit ribosomal RNA", at positions 338 to 795 of the family's 1533-position model. The record is from RNAcentral.